RNAcentral lists this ribosomal RNA (570 nucleotides) under uncultured Sphingomonas sp. RNAcentral describes it as "bacterial SSU rRNA". It matches the Rfam family "Bacterial small subunit ribosomal RNA", at positions 38 to 655 of the family's 1533-position model. The record is from RNAcentral. Lineage: Bacteria; Pseudomonadati; Pseudomonadota; Alphaproteobacteria; Sphingomonadales; Sphingomonadaceae.
GGCGGCUGCUUAACACAUGCAAGUCGAACGAGACCUUCGGGUCUAGUGGCGCACGGGUGCGUAACGCGUGGGAAUCUGCCCUUAGGUACGGAAUAACUCAGAGAAAUUUGUGCUAAUACCGUAUGAUGUCGAAAGACCAAAGAUUUAUCGCCUAAGGAUGAGCCCGCGUAAGAUUAGCUAGUUGGUAAGGUAAAAGCUUACCAAGGCGACGAUCUUUAGCUGGUCUGAGAGGAUGAUCAGCCACACUGGGACUGAGACACGGCCCAGACUCCUACGGGAGGCAGCAGUGGGGAAUAUUGGACAAUGGGCGAAAGCCUGAUCCAGCAAUGCCGCGUGAGUGAUGAAGGCCUUAGGGUUGUAAAGCUCUUUUACCAGGGAUGAUAAUGACAGUACCUGGAGAAUAAGCUCCGGCUAACUCCGUGCCAGCAGCCGCGGUAAUACGGAGGGAGCUAGCGUUGUUCGGAAUUACUGGGCGUAAAGAGUACGUAGGCGGUGAUACAAGUCAGAGGUGAAAGCCUGGAGCUCAACUCCAGAACUGCCUUUGAAACUAGAUCGCUAGAAUCAUGGAGA